Frankliniella occidentalis (western flower thrips) is the source of this 1762-nucleotide long non-coding RNA. RefSeq lists it as uncharacterized. Lineage: Eukaryota; Metazoa; Arthropoda; Insecta; Thysanoptera; Thripidae. The transcript is spliced from 4 exons. The record is from RefSeq and is a predicted model, not a curated record.
CCAUCCAUCUGGCCCAACCGCUCCCCGACCCGGAGCCUCGAACGGAACCAGCGCCAGACCAAGAAAAGGGCGUGACCGGAAACUCGCUGGAGCCGGAAAGCGACACUCUGUCGGAUGGGUCGGCGGGGCGCGGCGGGCCGCGAGGGUGGGGUCAGGCCUGGUCGCGGGCGUGGGCCCGCCGCGGGGAGUGGGGCCAGCGGUGGGGCCAGUGGCGGGACCAGCGGCCCAACUGGGAGCAGUGGCGGGGCCAGGGCCAGGAGUGGGCGGCCAGGUGGGGGCCGUGGAGGACCAGGGACGGCAGCAGGGAUCAGCCCGGGCGGCGACGGCGGCCUGAGGGCUCGCGGCCGGGCGGGGCCGCGGCGGGGGAGGGGCACCCCGCGCCAGAGGAGCCGGUCCAAGGGGACGGGGGCGCGGGGGCGGGUGAGGACGUCGUGCGCUGGAUCCCCAUUAUGCUCGGCUCACGCAGGACGGGGGACGUGUUGGCGACGAUCCAACUUGUGCAGGUUAGCCCGGGGACCAGUGAAGCUCAGCGGGAGAAGCAGAUGUGUGAUGGCGUGAAGGACAUCCUACCAGACCUCCGCCGCUACAGGUUUACUACUUUCAAUCUCAUGGGGAUGAAGGCAAUGUGAUGCGAGGAUCACUGUUGUGGGCUGCAAAGUCGGAGGUGUAGCUGUAGCGUAGCGAAGGACUCUUGGUGGUCUGGCCGCCAUCAAACCGGAAUAUACGCCAAAGUCAAACUAUCCGCUAUAUAGAUAUAUCAGACCACUUUUGGACUGUUCGCGAGGCUAUUUCUGCGAUACAGCGCGUUUGUGGUUGGGGGAGGCCACAGCAGCGUUCUGGAACUGUAGUCCGGCCGCAAAGGUUGGGAUAGUUUGGAGUUUGGCGCUGGACCAGAACAUCGCUGUCACUUUGGGGGCGGUGUGGCGCGGUAGAUCACGGUCGGCCCGAGGGUUGGCCGGAACAGAUCGGGUCGCGUUGGUUACGGACGUCUCUAUUUAUUUCGAGCUGUCAGCAGAACUGCCUCCCUAUCAGGCUCGAGGUGCUGUUCUGGGGCCUUCGGGACCUGAGCCCCUCCUGCGCUCCGGGAUACCAGUUCGUGGCCCUGCACCUGGCGGGCGCGCGCAUCGAGUCCUGUCGCCUCGACCCGGCCGCCUCGCUCAACUUCCAAGAGCCCUACUCGUCGGUCGACCUGGACCUGCCCGACGACCCCUCGCUGUUGCCCGGGGUGCACCUGGUGCUGCUGCGGCGCGCUGCGUUCGGUCUGUUCCGCCGCUACGCCGCCACGCACUUGCUGCCCAGCGCGGCGCUGCUGCUCGCCUCCCCGACGGCCUCCACCGCGCUGGACUCCGAGCCCUGGCCCUGGUUGCCCUCCGCGCUCACGGGGGCGACCGCGGCCCCUAGCACCCCGGCGGACGAGCCGCUCGCGGCCCUCUCGCGCGGAAACCCAGCCGAGGCCUCCUCCUCCCCCUCCUCGGACUCCGUGGUGAUCGAGCUGCCCGAGGACGUAACCACGCACCAGGCUGAACAAGGUUCGGGCCGCGCCCCUUCGCAGCCCUCCGACCUUCACUUGAGGGUGGGGAUUAGGUGGAAAUCCUCCCUUUGUCCCGCCCAUUCCCCCGCUUUCCCCCCCAGAGAGCGAGAAGGCGCCUUUGCUGUCACGCCUGGGCAGGGCCGCGGGCCGCGCCGUGCCGCAGCGGGUCCGGAAUCUGGGGGGCGGCGCGGUGGAGGCGGCGAGGCUGCGGAUGUCUCGCCGCCGUGCGGG